UCAAACUUGGUCAUUUAGAGGAAGUACAAGUCGUAACAAGGUUUCCGUAGGUGAACCUGCGGAAGGAUCAUUAACAAAUCCAUGUGUUGUACGAUGUUUUCAUCGUACAAUAUAUAAGUGCACCAGCAGCCUGCUGGAAUGCAAAAUAUUCAUGAUUAGUGAUAUAACAAAUAGUGUAUUAUCUAAAAUGUAAACAUACUUUUAACAAUGGAUCUCUUGGCUCUUGCAUCGAUGAAGAACGCAGC
RNAcentral lists this unclassified non-coding RNA (245 nucleotides) under uncultured fungus. RNAcentral describes it as "partial contains small subunit ribosomal RNA, internal transcribed spacer 1, and 5.8S ribosomal RNA". The stretch from base 1 to 73 matches the Rfam family "Eukaryotic small subunit ribosomal RNA", at positions 1759 to 1831 of the family's 1831-position model. Lineage: Eukaryota; Fungi. The record is from RNAcentral.